GAUGAAGAACGUAGCGAAAUGCGAUAAGUAAUGUGAAUUGCAGAAUUCAGUGAAUCAUCGAGUCUUUGAACGCACAUUGCGCCCCCUGGUGUUCCGGGGGGCAUGCCUGUCCGAGCGUCAUUGCUGCCCUCAAGCACGGCUUGUGUGUUGGGCCCCCGUCCCCGGUUUCCCCCGGGGACGGGCCCGAAAGGCAGCGGCGGCACCGCGUCCGGUCCUCGAGCGUAUGGGGCUUUGUCACCCGCUCUGUAGGCCCGGCCGGCGCCAGCCGACACCCAACUUUAUUUCUAAGGUUGACCUCGGAUCAGGUAGGGAUACCCGCUGAACUUAAGCAUAUCAAUAAGCGGAGGA
Molecule: unclassified non-coding RNA, 348 nt
Filed under: soil metagenome
Description: partial contains 5.8S ribosomal RNA, internal transcribed spacer 2, and large subunit ribosomal RNA
Rfam family: 5.8S ribosomal RNA (bases 1-120)
Source: RNAcentral